RNAcentral lists this transfer RNA (84 nucleotides) under Cylindrobasidium torrendii FP15055 ss-10. RNAcentral's name for it is "tRNA-Leu (CAA) (tRNA-Leu-CAA-1 1 to 4)". It matches the Rfam family "tRNA". Rfam says of the family: Transfer RNA (tRNA) molecules are approximately 80 nucleotides in length. Their secondary structure includes four short double-helical elements and three loops (D, anti-codon, and T loops). Further hydrogen bonds mediate the characteristic L-shaped molecular structure. tRNAs have two regions of fundamental functional importance: the anti-codon, which is responsible for specific mRNA codon recognition, and the 3' end, to which the tRNAs corresponding amino acid is attached (by aminoacyl-tRNA synthetases). tRNAs cope with the degeneracy of the genetic code in two manners: having more than one tRNA (with a specific anti-codon) for a particular amino acid; and 'wobble' base-pairing, i.e. permitting non-standard base-pairing at the 3rd anti-codon position. The record is from RNAcentral. Lineage: Eukaryota; Fungi; Basidiomycota; Agaricomycetes; Agaricales; Physalacriaceae.
GGCAAGGUGGCCGAGUGGUCUAAGGCGCGUGACUCAAGUUCUCGUGAGAGUAUUCUCGCGUGGGUUCAAAUCCCACCCUUGUCA